This 311-nucleotide unclassified non-coding RNA is filed under the name fungal sp. Its description in RNAcentral is "partial internal transcribed spacer region". The stretch from base 1 to 46 matches the Rfam family "Eukaryotic small subunit ribosomal RNA", at positions 1786 to 1831 of the family's 1831-position model. The record is from RNAcentral. Lineage: Eukaryota; Fungi.
AAGUCGUAACAAGGUUUCCGUAGGUGAACCUGCGGAAGGAUCAUUAACACGAACUUCUAUUAUCCAAUAUCAAAACCAAACGUGAACUUUUUCCUCUCCCUAUAUAGUUUAUAAUUAUAUAGGCUAACCGCAUACUUAUAUAUAUAUAUGCAUAAUAUAUAUAUAUACUUAUGCCAUUUUAAACCCCUUUAAACUUUAACUACAGUUCGCGGUCGAAAGGCGGAACUAUACUAACACUAAGAUAUAUAUAUUAUUAUCUUUGAUCUUAUGAAAUAUAAGAACAACUCUUAACAAUGGAUAUCUUGGUUCUC